Molecule: non-coding RNA, 1082 nt
Organism: Drosophila melanogaster (fruit fly)
Lineage: Eukaryota; Metazoa; Arthropoda; Insecta; Diptera; Drosophilidae
Source: Ensembl
GGUUAAAAUGUCAUGUUAACUCUGCAAAAAGUUUGGGAACAUAAUUCGUGCGUAAAAAAAUCAAUAUGAUUUAAGCUCGACAUCUUCAAGCUUGGACCUAUACAGGUUUUAUCACUACAGGAUCGAUCUACAAAAUCGCUUUCGUAUCUCAGAUCGAAUCGCUUCUCCAUCAGCAAAUGACUUCAAGGUCCCGAGAUUGUUCCUUGCCCCAGAAUGGCCGCUUCCGAAGGUUAUACGAGCAUUUCCGAUGAACCACUUAGAAAUCCAACUUAACACAGUAUUCCUAACUUUGUUGCGACCAAUACUAACGAACUGGAAGCGGUGCAGAUUGUCAAUCGCAGAUACACAACUCACACCCGCAAAUCACGAACGCCAUUGGCAAAACGGGCUGCUCACUAAGUGAUUGUUAGAUAUGGGCUCUAUAAGUCCUGCAGAGAUCCUGAUCCAGAUCCUCCGUCAAAGAACUUUCCGUCGACCGCAUCCCGCUUCUUGUUCUUCGAACGAAAGCGUCCGGAUCGGGAGAUGGAGAAGUUGCGCCACUGGUGGCCAUAGGCGCACCGCUUCUCCUCAUCGCUCAGCACGCUGUCCAGGUAGUGGAUCGUCGGCUCGUGGGCGGUUGACUUGGCUUUGCUCAUGGUGCCCGGAAGAGGACCAACUGCAAAUCAAAUUAGUUCGGAUUCUUUUUUUUUUUUUUUUGCGAUCGGUGGUUCCGAUAUUGACACUCCAGCUGAUAGGACCGAACACUGGGCUACAGUCGAACUCGCACUUCCACCGGUUCGGAUGUCUUUUGUUUUGGUGCGUUCGUGUCGGCCAAAGUUGGUCCGAAUCCAAUGCCGUCGCGCGUGGUUCCCGUGGAGCUUGUGCUCUGCGACUGCCGCUUCUGCCUUCAAAAAAGCCAAAUGACAACCACCCGAUGGAGUAAUGAAGUCGAAGAGAGCAGUCACCAGAAACUCUUUCCACCGCAGCUCCAGAGCAUGUGAGUUUGCUCCUGAAGGCCUAAACAGGUGAGCCAGGCCACACAACCGCAACACACACGUACACACACACAAUAUAUGUGAAUUUGAAUUGUGCCAACAGUGCUG